This 329-nucleotide ribosomal RNA is filed under the name uncultured eukaryote. RNAcentral describes it as "partial 18S ribosomal RNA". It matches the Rfam family "Eukaryotic small subunit ribosomal RNA", at positions 1470 to 1796 of the family's 1831-position model. The record is from RNAcentral.
CCCUUAGAUGUUCUGGGCCGCACGCGCGCUACACUGAUGCAUUCAACGAGUCUAAAACCUGCUCUGAUAGGGGUGGGUAAUCUUUUGAAUGUGCAUCGUGAUUGGGAUAGAUGAUUGAAAUUUUUCAUCUUCAACGAGGAAUGCCUAGUAAACGCAAGUCAUCAGCUUGCAUUGAUUACGUCCCUGCCCUUUGUACACACCGCCCGUCGCUCCUACCGAUUGAAUGAUACGAUGAAUAUCAUGGAUUGAGGAUGCAAGUAGGUUCACCUAUCUUCAUCUUCGAGAAGUGAAGUAAAUCUUAUCAUUUAGAGGAAGGAGAAGUCGUAACA